UCUGUAUUGAUGAAUAAAAUUGGUUCUCUUUUCCUCUCUUUUUUCUUCUUAGUUAUUUUCCAUAGUCCCCAAACAAACUUUUUCCUCUUCUUAAUUAUUUCCUUAGCCCCAAAGAAAAUUAUGAAAAAAGUUCCACAACCAAGCAUUAAAAAUUAAAGCUCCUUCCUUAAGCAUUCAAAUAUUUUCAUUAUUUUAUGUAAAGAAAUCUGUAAAUGAUGCUGUUGCAUAGAAGAGAAAGAAACCAAUGCUGGUGGGAAGAUUCAAACCCAAAACCUCUAAUGCUCCAAGCACCUUAUACCACUUGAUUACUCCAACACUUUGAUGCCUUAUGCACAAAGAUUUUAUAAAACCCUAUUGAUAUAUGAUCAAAUUUAUUCAUUUGAGGAUUGAAAAUCAGAUCUAUUCUCUGGGAUCUUAAAUUGCCGGAUGGCAAGAUUUGCAGGAAGGUCUUGGGCUUCAAACAUUCAGCUACAUCAAUUUUUCACAUAUAUUUUGACAUCGUAUUAUAAUCAGAUUCAUAAUUGGUGAAGUUGGCGAGGCAAUUAAUUUUUCGGUGACCUAGAAUCGUUGGUGGGCUGCUAUUUCUUGAAGAUAAGGAGUCAAUUUGGGGUUUUAGGUUGAAAUUCUUCGUUUAAACUUUAUGUUGGAUAUAUCAAUUUUUGUGAAUUUGGUUUGGGAAUCAUCUCAAUUGGAGAUUUAAUUGUCGUUUCUAGGUUUGAGAAGUCUCAUGGUUGCAUUUGCAUCAUAAUCAUAUCAAGCGUGUAAUGAAAACCCUAAAAAUUGCAAAUUACUGAAAACCGAAAAAUUGGACUAUCAACGCCACACGGGCGUGUGGGUCCAAAUUCUAAAAUUUUUCCCGGAGGUUGUAGUUGCCAUGCGAAUUGAAUAUAGCCCUUUUGUAGGGUCUGCAUGGUAUAAUUUUGCCUAUAAACCAUGAUUUCUGUUACUCUAUUACUGUUUAAUAUGACUAGUAAACACAUAGGUAGUAUGUUAUAUGUGAUAGCAUGAUCUGUUAUAUGCUAAGUAUGAUAUGAAUAUGAUAUGAAAAACAUGUAUGUCAUACACUAUGUGAUAUCUGUCUAGUUUUGCAUAUGCAUUGUGGUGGGAAAUUUGUUUAUGGAGGAAAUGCUGGCAGUUUAAUUUAUCUGUUUAAUUUGAUAGUGUAGCCAUGUGUAUCUGUAUUUGGAGGGUAUAUCGCUUAUUGAUCUGGCAACUAAACUGCAAGUACUCUGAAAAGUGUCAUAUAGACACUAAUUGGUGUGUAGGGCUGGUUGGGUAUUUAAUACCCUAAUUGGUAUGAAGGGAUGGUCAGAGAUGGUGUCUAGCGGAUGGAGGAGAGCAUUUGGAAGCAAAAGAAGCGAAAAACAAGCGAAAAUUGGACAAAUAAAGCUUAUUUCAAGAGCCACACAACCUGGGCUUUCCCACAUGGGUUGGACACAUGGCCGUGUGAGCCAUUCAGAUGUGCCAGACCGUGUCAAUUUCGCGACUUGCAUCCCAAACACGCGGAAAAUUGUAAUUUUUAGGCUUUCUGGGCAUUCUAAAGAAUAUAAAUAUCAAAUAGAAUAAGAGAAUAGGGAGUCAUCAGAGAAUAUCGAAGAAAACAACUCGAAGAACUCUAUGGGAGCCAACACUGAAGCGAAUUUCCAAUCAAGACUAAAGACCUCCUUUUAAUUUCUCUUGAAGUUUUUAUGAGUUUCUUUAUUUCUUAUGAUUAUUCUGACUUUGAGAUGUUUUUAUUCACAAUUAUGAACUAAUUCCCUAGAUACCUAGGGAGGAUGAACCCUAUGAUGAAUUCUAUGAUUUAAUUUCUGUUUUAUGCGAUAAAUAUUUGAUUCUUGUUCUUA
Long non-coding RNA from Gossypium raimondii (Peruvian cotton), 1844 nucleotides. RefSeq lists it as uncharacterized. The record is from RefSeq and is a predicted model, not a curated record. Lineage: Eukaryota; Viridiplantae; Streptophyta; Magnoliopsida; Malvales; Malvaceae. The transcript has 4 exons.